RNAcentral lists this ribosomal RNA (425 nucleotides) under uncultured bacterium. RNAcentral's name for it is "partial 16S ribosomal RNA". It matches the Rfam family "Bacterial small subunit ribosomal RNA", at positions 354 to 796 of the family's 1533-position model. The record is from RNAcentral.
GUGGGGAAUCUUAGACAAUGGGCGCAAGCCUGAUCUAGCCAUGCCGCGUGAGCGAUGAAGGCCUUAGGGUUGUAAAGCUCUUUCAGCUGGGAAGAUAAUGACGGUACCAGCAGAAGAAGCCCCGGCUAACUCCGUGCCAGCAGCCGCGGUAAUACGGAGGGGGCUAGCGUUGUUCGGAAUUACUGGGCGUAAAGCGCACGUAGGCGGAUCAGACAGUCAGAGGUGAAAUCCCAGGGCUCAACCUUGGAACUGCCUUUGAAACUCCUGAUCUUGAGGUCGAGAGAGGUGAGUGGAAUUCCGAGUGUAGAGGUGAAAUUCGUAGAUAUUCGGAGGAACACCAGUGGCGAAGGCGGCUCACUGGCUCGAUACUGACGCUGAGGUGCGAAAGCGUGGGGAGCAAACAGGAUUAGAAACCCUUGUAGUCC